AAUGAACGCUGGCGGCGUGCUUAACACAUGCAAGUCGUGCGCGAAGGUGGCUUCGGCUGCCGGAGAGCGGCGAACGGGUGAGUAACACGUGGGCAAUCUGCCUGGGGGUGUGGGAUAACCUGGGGAAACUCGGGCUAAUACCGCAUACGUUGUCGGGACCUUGGUCCUGCCAAGAAAGCUGGCCUCUGUUUACAAGCUAGCGCUCCCAGAGGAGCCCGCGGCUGAUUAGCUAGUUGGUGAGGUAAUGGCUCACCAAGGCGACGAUCAUUAGCCGGCCUGAGAGGGUGAUCGGCCACACUGGAACUGAGACACGGUCCAGACUCCUACGGGAGGCAGCAGUGGGGAAUAUUGGACAAUGGGCGAAAGCCUGAUCCAGCAACGCCGCGUGGAGGAUGAAGGUCUUCGGGUCGUAAACUCCUGUCAG
This 424-nucleotide ribosomal RNA is filed under the name uncultured bacterium. Its description in RNAcentral is "bacterial SSU rRNA". It matches the Rfam family "Bacterial small subunit ribosomal RNA", at positions 29 to 439 of the family's 1533-position model. The record is from RNAcentral.